AGAGGAGAGAGAGGAACAGAGAGGGAGAAUGAGGACAGAACAGAGAUGGAACAAGAGCAGACUAUGAUGACCUGGAUGACUGAGAACCUUCACAGACAACAUGGCCCUUGCUUCUCUAAGAUGAUGAUGUCAUUCCUUGUCGGCUUUGUGUUCCCCAGACCAGCAAACCACCCCGACUUGUGCUUUUUAUAAACUUUUAUGCUUACUGCAUGAUUAACAAAUAUUGCAUAUUUGUUAAUCAUGUUUUUCUAAAUAUCAUCCUCAAUCAAAUCAGGCUAAGAAUGAUAUAUAAACAAAUCCUGAUCUAUCUAUCUAUCUAUCUAUGGAGAGAGAGAGAGAGAGAGACAGACAGAGCGAGCGUAUGUGCCCUGUUGCAUUGUCUUAUUAACUUAAGGAAAUCUUAUUUGAGACCUUAUAAGAUCAGCAUUUACUCAAAGAAUUCAUUUGCCAUAAAACAAUGCAACAAUUAUAGUAACACUGAUACAUGUGUGGAGAAUACCUUGCUUGUGUUGGGAAAAGAAAGUACAAUAAACUACACAGGAAUGAAACAAAAACUUUUUUAGUGCGAAAUGUAAUAAGCUGCAAAACAACUAAAAAACUCAUAUCGAACAAUUAACUUUGGUGAUUGCUCUGCUAGUUUAGUGUUUCCUGGAAGUGCAAAGCAAAGUGGAAUACAGCACCGGGUAUCAACUAAUACUCCUGUACUUAAUACUACUGUACUUAUCCUGCUACGACAAGUCAGAACGUCUGCUGUGAAAACAAAUCUGUUUGAUUAGUUAAAAUCAUCUUCUUGAUAUCAUCAUUAAAGAUUUGUUUAUGCUGGA
This is a long non-coding RNA of Oreochromis niloticus (Nile tilapia), 824 nucleotides long. RefSeq lists it as uncharacterized. Lineage: Eukaryota; Metazoa; Chordata; Actinopteri; Cichliformes; Cichlidae. The record is from RefSeq and is a predicted model, not a curated record. The transcript has 2 exons.